AUGCUUGCUUUGGCAGAACAUAUACUAAAAUUGGAAUAAUACAGAGAAGAUUAGCAUGGCCUCUAUGCAAGGAUAAUGCGCAAGUUCAUAAAGAAUUCCAUGUUUUA
Mustela putorius furo (domestic ferret) is the source of this 107-nucleotide small nuclear RNA. The record is from Ensembl. NCBI's taxonomy places the organism in Eukaryota, Metazoa, Chordata, Mammalia, Carnivora, Mustelidae.